ACGAAGCACAUACGGCGGAACUUUUCGGAGGGAAGAUGUAUGUGACUGAGUGGCGGACGGGUGAGUAACGCGUGGGUAACCUGCCCCAUAGAGGGGGACAACAGUUGGAAACGACUGCUAAUACCGCAUAAGAAAGAAUUGCCGCAUGGCAGUUUUUUGAAAGAUUUAUCGCUAUGGGAUGGACCCGCGUCUGAUUAGCUAGUUGGGAGGGUAACGGCCUACCAAGGCAACGAUCAGUAGCCGGCUUGAGAGAGUGAACGGCCACAUUGGGACUGAGACACGGCCCAGACUCCUACGGGAGGCAGCAGUGGGGAAUAUUGCCCCUCCUGGGUAACCAAAAUGCGGCGCCGCCGCGUGGGGGGGGGGGUAAAAAAGNNNGUNUUGCUCUCUCCCCCCCCCCGCNUCCCGCCCUCCGGGGUGGCUGUCGGUCCCUGUCUGUGUGGCCCCGGCUNNCUUCGUGCCCGCUGCCGCGGUUUUNCGUNGGGGGCCNGCGUUUUCCGGUUUUUCUGGGUGUUUNGGGUGCGUNGGUGGCUUGGCUNGUCNGUUGUGNNNNCCCGGGGCCCNCCCCCGGGNGUGCCUUUGCCCCUGUCUGGCUNGNGUGCCGGGGCGGUCCGUGGCCUUCCUNGUGUGGCGGUGGGGGGCGGGGCCCUUUGGAGGAACACCAGUGGCGAAGGCGGCUUACUGGACUGUAACUGAC
RNAcentral lists this ribosomal RNA (697 nucleotides) under uncultured bacterium. RNAcentral describes it as "partial 16S ribosomal RNA". It matches the Rfam family "Bacterial small subunit ribosomal RNA", at positions 46 to 744 of the family's 1533-position model. The record is from RNAcentral.